RNAcentral lists this ribosomal RNA (489 nucleotides) under uncultured bacterium. RNAcentral describes it as "partial 16S ribosomal RNA". It matches the Rfam family "Bacterial small subunit ribosomal RNA", at positions 28 to 523 of the family's 1533-position model. The record is from RNAcentral.
GAUGAACGCUGGCGGCGUGCUUAACACAUGCAAGUCGAACGGAAAGGCCUGUACUUGUACAGGUACUCGAGUGGCGAACGGGUGAGUAACACGUGGGUGAUCUGCCCUGCACUAUGGGAUAAGCGUGGGAAACUGGGUCUAAUACCAUAUAGGACCACUUCUUGGAUGUUGUGGUGGAAAGCUUUUGCGGUGUGGGAUGAGCCUGCGGCCUAUCAGCUUGUUGGUGGGGUAAUGGCCUACCAAGGCGGCGACGGGUAUCCGGCCUGAGAGGGUGUACGGACACAUUGGGACUGAGAUACGGCCCAGACUCCUACGGGAGGCAGCAGUGGGGAAUAUUGCACAAUGGGCGCAAGCCUGAUGCAGCGACGCCGCGUGGGGGAUGACGGCCUUCGGGUUGUAAACUCCUUUCGCUAUCGACGAAGCCACCUUUGGUGGUGACGGUAGGUAGAUAAGAAGCACCGGCUAACUACGUGCCAGCAGCCGCAGUAA